GGGGUUGUGCCUGAAAAAGGGUCACUUUGAUAGAGUGAAUUAUGGGGGUUAAAGUCCUCCCAGCCCCU
RNAcentral lists this transfer RNA (68 nucleotides) under Johnius belangerii (Belanger's croaker). Its description in RNAcentral is "tRNA-Ile". It matches the Rfam family "tRNA". Rfam says of the family: Transfer RNA (tRNA) molecules are approximately 80 nucleotides in length. The record is from RNAcentral. Lineage: Eukaryota; Metazoa; Chordata; Actinopteri; Sciaenidae. RNAcentral also lists the same sequence under 1 other name.